This 71-nucleotide transfer RNA is filed under the name Cordylochernes scorpioides. RNAcentral describes it as "tRNA-Gly". The record is from RNAcentral. Lineage: Eukaryota; Metazoa; Arthropoda; Arachnida; Pseudoscorpiones; Chernetidae.
UGCAUCGGUCGGGAAUCGAACCCAGGCCGCCCGCGUGGCAGGAGAGCAUUCUACCACUGAACCACCGAUGC